AGCAGCCGCGGUAAUUCCAGCUCCAAUAGCGUAUAUUAAAGUUGUUGCAGUUAAAAAGCUCGUAGUUGAAUUUCGGGAUCAGUUGGUCGGUCGUGCCUCGGUACGUACUGGUCAAAUUGAUUCCUACCUUCUGACGAACCACGAUGUCAUUAAUUUGGUGUCGCGGGRAAUCAGGACUGUUACUUUGAAAAAAUUAGAGUGUUUAAAGCAGGCUCGCGCUUGAAUACAUUAGCAUGGAAUAAUGAAAUAGGACGUUUGAUUCUAUUUUGUUGGUUUCUAGGAUCGACGUAAUGAUUAAUAGGGAUAGUUGGGGGCAUUAGUAUUCAAUUGUCAGAGGUGAAAUUCUUGGAUUUAUUGAAGACUAACUACUGCGAAAGCAUUUGCCAAGGAUGUUUUCAUUAAUCAAGAACGAAAGUUAGGGGAUCGAAGACGAUCAGAUACCGUCGUAGUCUUAACCAUAAACUAUGCCGACUAGGGAUCGGA
RNAcentral lists this ribosomal RNA (483 nucleotides) under uncultured Glomus. Its description in RNAcentral is "SSU rRNA". It matches the Rfam family "Eukaryotic small subunit ribosomal RNA", at positions 571 to 1068 of the family's 1831-position model. The record is from RNAcentral. Lineage: Eukaryota; Fungi; Glomeromycota; Glomeromycetes; Glomerales; Glomeraceae.